RNAcentral lists this ribosomal RNA (480 nucleotides) under uncultured bacterium. RNAcentral's name for it is "bacterial SSU rRNA". It matches the Rfam family "Bacterial small subunit ribosomal RNA", at positions 28 to 389 of the family's 1533-position model. The record is from RNAcentral.
GAUGAACGCUGGCGGCGUGCUUAACACAUGCAAGUCGAGCGGGCAAUUUAUCUAGCACUGAUUACUUCAAAUGGAAAUCAUAAGUGUAAUCAUGAAUUUCUACCUUUAAUAAGGGAAAAAAGAAUUCAUGUACGCAAAUAGUGAUAACACAUGAAAGUGGAGUGAUGAGUGCUGGAUAAAUUGCUAGCGGCGGACGGGUGCGUAACACGUGGGUAACCUGCCCCUAUCACUGGGAUAACACACUGAAAAGUGUGCUAAUACCAGAUAAUAUAAGCUUUUGGCAUCCAUUAGCUUAUCAAAGAAUUUCGGAUAGGGAUGGGCCCGCGUCUGAUUAGCUAGUUGGUGAGGUAACGGCUCACCAAGGCAACGAUCAGUAGCCGACCUGAGAGGGUGAUCGGCCACACUGGAACUGAGACACGGUCCAGACUCCUACGGGAGGCAGCAGUAGGAAUUUUACGGCAAUGGGGGAAACCCUGACCG